UACGAGUGGUGCAAGCGUUAUUCGGAUUUAUUGGGCGUAAAGGGCGCGUAGGUGGUAUGUUAAGUCAGCUGUAAAAUUCUCCGGCCUAACUGGAGGUCUGCGGUAGAUACUGAUGUACUUGAGGAUGGAAGAGAGAAGUGGAAUUCUUGGAGUAGCGGUAAAAUGCGUAGAUAUCAAGAGGAACACCAAUGGCGAAGGCAGCUUCUUGGUCCACUCCUGACACUGAGGCGCGAAAGCGUGGGGAGCAAAC
RNAcentral lists this ribosomal RNA (250 nucleotides) under uncultured bacterium. RNAcentral describes it as "partial 16S ribosomal RNA". It matches the Rfam family "Bacterial small subunit ribosomal RNA", at positions 524 to 773 of the family's 1533-position model. The record is from RNAcentral.